GUUCAUGUGGCAUGAAAAGAUGACAGACUCAGGAGGGCCCCAGAGGCGCACACUUUGAUUUUUAUCUACUUUGCUUUCCCAGAAAGUUCCUGAGAAGUCAGACGCGGCGCUUCGUUGCGUAAUAUCGGGUCAGCCCAAGCCAGAGGUAACUUCGUAGAAGAAUGGUCAAACCAUGGAUGAGUGUGGCAUUGUCUCCAGUUGUGAAUUCUUUGAGAAUCAAUAUACUCAUCUAUUACAUCUCUACUGGUAGCACCUCUUCCCCCGUCCUUCCUGCGUUCUCCUCCUCAUACCACCCUAAUCUCGUACUUUGGGCAGAUGAGACUACUUGGAGAGAUUGAUCAGUGCUGUUGUGACCUUUCCAUUACCACAGGUCAAGUGUGCUUGGCAGACCAAAGACAUGGAAAGGCAAGAAAGCAUUCCAAGAGAGAGAAACAUCAAUGAUAACAGUAUGGUUUGCACUGUAGCCUGAAAUUUUUUGUUUUUUUUUUCCCCUAAAGACAUAGGGGUUGGGAGCAGGGGAAGAAAAUGCAAAUAUUGAUAGAUGUUUUCUACCUCAUAGUGAAAGCAAGUCACGAGGACGUGUAUACAAAUGGGGAACCGUGGUCUCUUGUGAACACAAUUAAAGACAGGCAGCAAAGCAACAGAUAAAAAUCUGUCCAGGAACCCACACCUAGAGAGAGAGACACUCCUCUCCGCAGCAAGGAGGCCUCUUUGGACGCUCACGGUAACGUCCAGCAGUGCUGAGAGUGAGCCCAGAUUACAAGUGAGGCAGAAAGGAGGGAGGCGAGGGCGGUGGCCAGGGCAGAAGCACCGAUAGGGUUAGAGGGAUGGGGAAGCAGCCCCUUUGGCUCUCUCGCCAGCUCAGCCCUGGCGUUGGCUGGGCUGGAGGCGGACCCUGCAGAGGCCUGGUGGGGACAGUGGCCCGGAGAACUGCACAGUCAUCACAAGCCAGUCUGCUCACGUGACUAUGGGUGGCACAGGGAGCCCCAAAUUCGUGUUCACCUGGAACCUCAGAAUGGGACCUCGUUUGGAAAUAAAGUCUUUGCAGACGUAAUUAUUUAAAUGAAGACAAGACCAUACUUAGAUUAAUAGGGGCCCUGACUGGUAUCCUUAUAAAGAGAGAAAACUGAAAACUGGUAUCCUUAUAAAGACGCAGAUGGGGGCUUCCCUGGUGGCGCAGUG
Long non-coding RNA from Physeter macrocephalus (sperm whale), 1182 nucleotides. RefSeq lists it as uncharacterized. The transcript has 3 exons. The record is from RefSeq and is a predicted model, not a curated record. Lineage: Eukaryota; Metazoa; Chordata; Mammalia; Artiodactyla; Physeteridae.